This 465-nucleotide ribosomal RNA is filed under the name uncultured Klebsiella sp. RNAcentral's name for it is "bacterial SSU rRNA". It matches the Rfam family "Bacterial small subunit ribosomal RNA", at positions 338 to 795 of the family's 1533-position model. Lineage: Bacteria; Pseudomonadati; Pseudomonadota; Gammaproteobacteria; Enterobacterales; Enterobacteriaceae. The record is from RNAcentral.
CCUACGGGAGGCUGCAGUGGGGAAUAUUGCACAAUGGGCGCAAGCCUGAUGCAGCCAUGCCGCGUGUGUGAAGAAGGCCUUCGGGUUGUAAAGCACUUUCAGCGGGGAGGAAGGCGGUGAGGUUAAUAACCUCAUCGAUUGACGUUACCCGCAGAAGAAGCACCGGCUAACUCCGUGCCAGCAGCCGCGGUAAUACGGAGGGUGCAAGCGUUAAUCGGAAUUACUGGACGUAAAGCGCACGCAGGCGGUCUGUCAAGUCGGAUGUGAAAUCCCCGGGCUCAACCUGGGAACUGCAUUCGAAACUGGCAGGCUAGAGUCUUGUAGAGGGGGGUAGAAUUCCAGGUGUAGCGGUGAAAUGCGUAGAGAUCUGGAGGAAUACCGGUGGCGAAGGCGGCCCCCUGGACAAAGACUGACGCUCAGGUGCGAAAGCGUGGGGAGCAAACAGGAUUAGAUACCCGGGUAGUC